GCCAGGCGCGGUGACUCACGCUUGUAAUCCCAGCACUUUGGGAGGCUGAGGUGGGGGGUUCACCUGAGAUCAGGAGUUCGAGACCAGCCUGGUCAACAUGGUGAAACCCCAUCUCUA
Papio anubis (olive baboon) is the source of this 117-nucleotide unclassified non-coding RNA. It matches the Rfam family "Metazoan signal recognition particle RNA". From Rfam's summary of the family: The signal recognition particle (SRP) is a universally conserved ribonucleoprotein. It is involved in the co-translational targeting of proteins to membranes. The record is from Ensembl. NCBI's taxonomy places the organism in Eukaryota, Metazoa, Chordata, Mammalia, Primates, Cercopithecidae.